This 484-nucleotide ribosomal RNA is filed under the name uncultured bacterium. Its description in RNAcentral is "partial 16S ribosomal RNA". It matches the Rfam family "Bacterial small subunit ribosomal RNA", at positions 28 to 507 of the family's 1533-position model. The record is from RNAcentral.
AUUGAACGCUGGCGGCAUGCUUUACACAUGCCAGUCGAACGGCAGCGCGGGCUUCGGCCUGGCGGCGAGUGGCGAACGGGUGAGUAAUGCAUCGGAACGUGCCCAGUAGUGGGGGAUAGCCCGGCGAAAGCCGGAUUAAUACGGCAUACGACCUGAGGGUGAAAGCGGGGGACCGAAAGGCCUCGCGCUAUGGGAGCGGCCGAUGUCGGAUUAGCUAGUUGGUGGGGUAAAGGCUUACCAAGGCGACAAUCCGUAGCUGGUCUGAGAGGACGACCAGCCACACUGUGACUGAGACACGGCCCAGACUCCUGCGGGAGGCAGCAGUGGGGAAUUUUGGACAAUGGGGGCGACCCUGAUCCAGCCAUGCCGCGUGCGGGAAGAAGGCCUUCGGGUUGUAAACCGCUUUUGUUCGGGAAGAAAUCCUCUGGGCUAAUACCCCGGGGGGAUGACGGUACCGUAAGAAUAAGCACCGGCUAACUACGUG